Molecule: long non-coding RNA, 403 nt
Filed under: Homo sapiens (human)
Lineage: Eukaryota; Metazoa; Chordata; Mammalia; Primates; Hominidae
Description: HSALNT0068277
Source: RNAcentral
UUCACUGGUGGGAGGACAGCUCCCCAGGAGCAGCAGCUCCCUGUGGCCAGACUCAGCUAUCUGGGGAAUGGAGUGGCUGCAAGCUGUCAGACCUCACUCCCAGGAGCUGGCGACGGUGCAGCCGCCAGUGCUGGGGACCAGGAAGCUGAACGGAGUGAGACAUGCCCUGUAGAAAAUGAAGAAUCUGCAGAAAAUUAUAAGAAAGAAGGAAAAGCAAAAUGGCACAGACCCUCCACUUAGGAAUCGUUGACUCCAGCAGACAUUAGCACAGCCUUUUACUCUCUCCAUAUGUUUCACACUCAGCUGCGUACUACGGAGGCCGUUGUGCAUAUGGCGACUGUAAGGCAUCAUUGGGAAUAUCAUGAGGUGACAUGACGUAGAGUUUGACGAAUGGGGUGACAGA